This 20-nucleotide small RNA is filed under the name Arabidopsis thaliana (thale cress). RNAcentral's name for it is "ATSL049270". The record is from RNAcentral. Lineage: Eukaryota; Viridiplantae; Streptophyta; Magnoliopsida; Brassicales; Brassicaceae.
AAAAAAGAAUAGAGAUAAAU